This 85-nucleotide non-coding RNA is filed under the name bovine gut metagenome. The record is from RNAcentral.
UUUGCUAGGGGCGCUUUUUGCUGAGAGGCCGCAAGGCCAACCCUUUGAACUUGAUGUGGAUAAUCCCAACGCAGGAAAGCAGAUC